AUCCUUCUGUAGUUCAUAAGCAUGAUGACAUGCACCUCCCCCAAAACUUGUUACUUGGCAUAUUACCUAUCUGACA
Small nucleolar RNA from Ailuropoda melanoleuca (giant panda), 76 nucleotides. Lineage: Eukaryota; Metazoa; Chordata; Mammalia; Carnivora; Ursidae. The record is from Ensembl.